Molecule: ribosomal RNA, 253 nt
Filed under: uncultured bacterium
Lineage: Bacteria
Description: partial 16S ribosomal RNA
Rfam family: Bacterial small subunit ribosomal RNA
Source: RNAcentral
UACGUAGGGGGCAAGCGUUGUCCGGAAUCAUUGGGCGUAAAGAGCGUGUAGGCGGCCCGGUAAGUCCGCUGUGAAAGUCCAGGGCUCAACCCUGGGAUGCCGGUGGAUACUGUCGGGCUCGAGUCCGGAAGAGGAGUGUGGAAUUCCCGGUGUAGCAGUGAAAUGCGUAGAGAUCGGGAGGAACACCAGUGGCGAAGGCGGCCUUCUGGACCAGUACUGACGCUCAUGCACGAAAGCGUGGGGAGCAAACAGG